UUGGUUUCUUAUUUCUUGCAAACUACUGAUUACAAAUUUAUAGCAAAAAGAAGUCACAAAAGUUGCCCACUAUUACAACAAAAAUAGCUAACAACAGUACCAACUUCAGUAGUAGUCAAUUGCAUAACUUUAGAUAACAAAAUAACUACUAUUACACCUGAGCAACCAAAGGCUUGACUUAUUCAAAUAAAACAGACUAAC
This 201-nucleotide long non-coding RNA is filed under the name Panax ginseng (ginseng). Its description in RNAcentral is "long non-coding RNA (PGIN_LNC014726)". Lineage: Eukaryota; Viridiplantae; Streptophyta; Magnoliopsida; Apiales; Araliaceae. The record is from RNAcentral.